CGGAGCGUAGCGCAGCCUGGUAGCGCACCUGAAUGGGGUUCAGGGGGUCGUGAGUUCGAAUCUCGCCGCUCCGA
This 74-nucleotide transfer RNA is filed under the name Fulvimarina manganoxydans. Its description in RNAcentral is "Rhizobiales bacterium 8.047 tRNA". It matches the Rfam family "tRNA". From Rfam's summary of the family: Transfer RNA (tRNA) molecules are approximately 80 nucleotides in length. Lineage: Bacteria; Pseudomonadati; Pseudomonadota; Alphaproteobacteria; Hyphomicrobiales; Aurantimonadaceae. The record is from Rfam by way of RNAcentral.